This 2376-nucleotide long non-coding RNA is filed under the name Homo sapiens (human). RNAcentral's name for it is "HSALNT0009464". Lineage: Eukaryota; Metazoa; Chordata; Mammalia; Primates; Hominidae. The record is from RNAcentral.
CCAGUGUGAACUUCGGAAUCUAGAAAAGAACAAAAUUUUUUUUGGAUGUGUAUGUUCCAGCAAGUAGGAACAGAGUUCCCAUAAAAUGAAGCUAAGGUCACUGGCAGAGUGCAAUGGGUUAAACUGACAUGACCGGAAUUGGACAGUGAGCACUGCUGGCCCCAUCUCGGAAACGAGAGUGGACCAGGAGGAGUUUUCAGAGGAGUCUGUGAUAGGCGCUUUGUGACUCCAGGACACGUUGAGUAUACGUGAUUGAUGAAACCAAUGGUACAUCUGGAACACUGGCUGAAAUGAAGAAUGGAAAAUGUUAGCUUUCCAGGCCUCCUCAGGCCAGGAAGGCAUACUGGAGAGAUACGGCAGCAGAGUCACACAAGCAAGGCAGCUGGAUUUGUGACAAUGAGAGAAGCGCGGGGUCAAAGAACAUAGAGUGUUUUGAGAACAGUGUCUCCAGAUGAGAGGGAAGAGAACUGGCACAGGAAAGCAGAUGGAGGCAGAUAUGAGUCUCACUCUGGUGGAUUAUUGUUCCAAACAGUAGCAUGAAGUAUUCAUCCGACCAUUUCAGCCGUGAGCUUCCUCUCAACAUUGUGUGAUGACCCAGAUACUGAACUUUUGUCUUUUGCCUUUUACCCCAUUUUCUAGAAUAGACAAUGCACUUUCAACUCCAGGAUGAUCAUGCAGCCUCGGGGGUCAUCAAAUGAAUUGAUUUUUCUUGGCAAUUUUUUCCUAAUAAAGUACAGCUUUCAGGUUUUUUUUUUUCUAUUUCUUUUUAUGCCCCCAAAGGAAGGAUGCCAGAAGCAGCAUAACUUGUUCUUGUCAUGUUAGUGAAUUGUAGAAAUAUUAGCAUUCUGGAUAAGAAUGCCAUGGAAGCCAGGGGCCAAAAGCUCAGCAAUCCAUAUGGUUUGCAAUAUAUACCCUUAGGCAGGCCUCAUGGGUUGUGGUUGUUUAAAAGAAAAAGAACAAACAAAUACAAAACCAAACAAAAUCAGAGGGAGAAGUAAAAAGUAAUUUCUUGAGUGAGAAAUCAGGAUGGGGGAGUCUGCCCUUUAAAACUGAUCUCCUUUGUCUGCAGUGCCCCUAAACUUGUCACCCAAUUACUCAUGGAGGAAGUCUGCAUAGACCUACAUGGGCACCCUCACAGGAAGGCAAACUCAGAUCUAUUUCCGUAUCCACCUUGUAAUUAGUUUGUACAGGGGAAAUUACUGUGGACUAAUGGAGUAGCCUCUUUCCAUUUGUGGCUUCUCUGUUAGUUUUCAGCAGGGAAAGUGUGGGACAGAAAAUUUGCUUUGUAAAAACCACAUAAAACUUUUCAAGGUACUCUUAACUCCUAGCUCUCUUAGAAAAUUAAGGUUUCCUUCUCCUAAAAGUCUAUGUUAGCUUGUUUUCAAAUAAAGUUUUGAGUUAUGUUAUUCUCUCACUAAAACUUUACCAUCAAAGUAAUACUGAAUAUAGUCACUCCUUGUAGAUGUUAGGCUGUGAUAACAAUAAUAAUAAUCUUGCAUAGUUGAUUAUAAUUUCAACAAUGAAAACACUCAUUUUAUAUUAUUAAGAUAUGAACUUAAAAUUGUACAAAUUGUAUUACAGUCUAAAUUUAUGUGAGACAGAGAAAAUAACAUUCUCAGAUGUUUUAUAAGAGACCAUUGACUAAUAAUACUUAAGUUCAAUUAUUUAAUCAUGUGCCUAUGAAGUUUAUCUAAACCUAUUUAUAAAACUCAUCUAUAUAUUAGUAUAUUAAUGCUUUGCUUACUUCUAAUUUUUAUUUUUUAUUUUAUUUUACUUUUUGAGACAAAGUCUGGCUCUGUCACCCAGGCUGGAAUGUAGUGGCACUAUCUUGGCUCACUGCAACCUCCCCAUCCUGGGCGCAUGUGAUCCUGAUCCUCCCACCUCCGCCUCCUGAGUAGCUGGGACCACAGUUGUGCUCCAGUAUGCCCAGCUAAUUUUGUACUUUUGGUAGAGAUGGGGUUUCACUGUGUUGUCCAGGCUGGUCUUGAACUACUGCACGCAAGUGAUCCACCAGCCUCGACUUCCCAAAGUGCUAGAAUGACAGGCAUGAGCCACUGUGCCGGCCCGAUACUUUGCUUACUUCUAAGGAUUAAUUUUAUGUGAUGAUUCUUUGCUAACAAUGAAGUUUUUUUGUUUUGUUUUGUUUUUUGUUUUUUGGUUUUUUUUAGUUCUACUGCAUAGUGUGGUAAAUACAGUUUAUAGAGUAUUGAACAUUUCCAAAUGGCUAAAAGAGUAAAUUUUAAAUGUUCUCACUAAAAAAAUGCUAAGUAUUUAAGGUGAUGGAUAUGUUAAGCAGCUUGAUUUAAUUUUUAUUCCACAUUAUACUCAUAAAUCAUAACAUUACUUUGUACCCCGUAUAUUUAUACAGCUAUAGAU